UGCCUGCCUGGAGCGUCUCCGGGUAACAGAUGCUCGCCUUCCGCACCCUUUAUCGUUCUUAGCCUCCUCUUCUCCCUACCGCCUGCAGCUCUGCUCCCAUUCCGGCAUGUUAAGGGCGGCACGGGGUGCCCGUGAUUGCGCCCCUCGCAGCAGCGGCGCCCCGCGGGCUGUGUCCGCCGCGUGCGCAAUGGGAGGCCCGGAGUCCACGAGGGCCGCGCCCUUCGCCCCGCGCUUCCCACGGCGCCGGUCAGAUUUAGCGAGCAACAUGAUGGGCCUGAACUGCUCUUUAAAACGUUUAUAUGAGGGCGAAGAUCAAGCGAGUCCGCGCUAGUCAGCGGUUUGGACCUACGGAAUGCCCCCGAGACCCCAGAAAGCCUAGCAGCCGAGUUACAGGAAGUCACGGCUGCUGCUGCACACGAUUUGGAAGGAGACAUUGUGCCAGCAGAAGCCAAAACCUUUGAUGCCGAUGGCUAGGUGAAGGAAAGAAUAUCUAGUAGGACAGUUCUUAGCUAUCCUGAGUGAAUAUUUCAGGCUUUCUGGUUUUCUGAAAUAGCUGAAACUGACAGCUGAUCGCUGGAGCUGUUCCUUUAAAGGUCUUCAUCAAUAAAUUAUCAAUAAAGCUCCUGCUGUGAAUUUAUGUUAUUAGCGUGAAAAGUGAAGAGACAAGCUGGAAAAUGGAUAUGUGGGGUUUUAGGCUGCAACUCAGAAGACAAGCAAUUGCAGAUGACUGUACUUACUCCUCAGCAAUAAUGUCAAUACCUGACAAACUGAUCAAAUAAAGCUUGGAGUUUCCAUCAUGAAA
Molecule: long non-coding RNA, 802 nt
Organism: Sorex fumeus (smoky shrew)
Lineage: Eukaryota; Metazoa; Chordata; Mammalia; Eulipotyphla; Soricidae
Exons: 6
Source: RefSeq, a predicted model, not a curated record